This 520-nucleotide ribosomal RNA is filed under the name uncultured Archaeospora. RNAcentral describes it as "SSU rRNA". It matches the Rfam family "Eukaryotic small subunit ribosomal RNA", at positions 569 to 1096 of the family's 1831-position model. Lineage: Eukaryota; Fungi; Glomeromycota; Glomeromycetes; Archaeosporales; Archaeosporaceae. The record is from RNAcentral.
CGCAGCCGCGGUAAUUCCAGCUCCAAUAGCGUAUAUUAAAGUUGUUGCAGUUAAAAAGCUCGUAGUUGAAUUUUAGGCCUGGCCGGAUGGUCCGUCUUUGGCGAGUACUGUUCUGUCGUCGGGUCUAUCCUUCUGGUGAGCCGGGAUGCCCUUUAUUGGGUGUGUCGGGGAACCAGGACCAUUACCUUGAAAAAUUAGAGUGUUUAAAGCGGGCAUUUGCUUGAAUAGAUUAGCAUGGAAUAAUAGAAUAGGACGUUGGUUCUAUUUUGUUGGUUUUAGGACCACCGUAAUGAUUAAUAGGGAUAGUUGGGGGCAUUAGUAUUCAAUUGUCAGAGGUGAAAUUCUUGGAUUUAUUGAAGACUAACUAUUGCGAAAGCAUUUGCCAAGGAUGUUUUCAUUAAUCAAGAACGAAAGUUAGGGGAUCGAAGACGAUCAGAUACCGUCGUAGUCUUAACCAUAAACUAUGCCGACUAGGAAUCGGGCGACGUUAUUUCAUGACUCGCUCGGCGCCUUAUGGGAA